GGCUCAAAAGAGGCUCAAAAGGACAGAAUUGGGACAUAAGAGGAAAAAAUGAAAUAAAAUUAGGCUGGAAUCACAUUCAAUACCAACAACUAUUACCACAAAUGGAAGAAGAGACAACCAGAAAAGACCCAGGCACACUUCUGGAGACCCACUGUUGUGUAAAAUACAAUGAUUGUAAAACAAUUAUGGGAAAAAUGGUACCAUACGCAUCACAGCUGACUGUCUGGAAAGAGCCAAGGCAGUGGGACCGAGAUGUCCAGUUUUGCCAGGCAACAGUUGGAUCAUAACUGUGGCACUUCUUACUGUGUUCCUGGAGGAAGUUCUUCCCUAACUCUCCCAGUUUGCAGCAGUCUCCUGGGGAAGAACUGGUAUGGAAAGAACCAACUGUACUUGAGGGUGGGAGUGGGUGCCAGGAGGAAAAGCUGAGCAAGUCACUCACUUUAGUUUCUCAGGCAGAGCUACACUAUUACAGUUUCUCUGUCUCCUUAUCUAGCAUAAUACUCUGCUGGUCUCCUGAGACCCAGAAGAGAUGUUCUGGGCCAUUUCUGCCUGUCCCCUGGGGGUUUUUGGUGAAGAAUUGAGCUCUGCCACUCCUUAUUCCACCAUCUCCUGCUCUGGAGAUUUUAAAUGCAAGUUUAGGGAUCACCAUCAGUUGAUGUACUUUCACUCUCAUGAUUCUGUAGGUUUUUCUCUGCUUGGAAACUGCCUGAUUUUGCCUGCAUCCUUAUGGGCUUCCCCUUGUCAGUGGGGUCUAACCCUGUGCUCCCUGGGACAAGACUCAAUAUUAGACAUGACUACUGGACACAUGACUAAGUACUGAUUUUCCUCAAGAAGCUCUUGAUGUUGAAUAUUACUGACUGACAAAGUGGAGUCCAGGACAAAGCACAAUGCAGAUCUAGGUGAAUUACCCCUUGCCAAAUAUCUGAUUCUCAGCACUCCAUUCUGAGCUCUGUGUCUACCAAUAUCUUUAUUGUUCUGUUUGCAGCUGUAUCUUUUUCUUUGACUUAAGUUUUCCUUCUUCUUUAAGCAACAGGAUACAUAUAAUGGGUUUUCAUAUGAUGUAAAUUGAAUAAAGGAAUUUCUUAGGAUUUUUUAGGAGG
This is a long non-coding RNA of Choloepus didactylus (southern two-toed sloth), 1100 nucleotides long. RefSeq lists it as uncharacterized. The transcript has 3 exons. The record is from RefSeq and is a predicted model, not a curated record. Lineage: Eukaryota; Metazoa; Chordata; Mammalia; Pilosa; Megalonychidae.